This 462-nucleotide ribosomal RNA is filed under the name Vreelandella stevensii. RNAcentral describes it as "partial 16S ribosomal RNA". It matches the Rfam family "Bacterial small subunit ribosomal RNA", at positions 338 to 795 of the family's 1533-position model. The record is from RNAcentral. Lineage: Bacteria; Pseudomonadati; Pseudomonadota; Gammaproteobacteria; Oceanospirillales; Halomonadaceae.
CCUACGGGCGGCAGUGGGGAAUAUUGGACAAUGGGCGAAAGCCUGAUCCAGCCAUGCCGCGUGUGUGAAGAAGGCCUUCGGGUUGUAAAGCACUUUCAGUGGGGAAGAAAGCCUUGGGGCUAAUACCCUCGAGGAAGGACAUCACCCACAGAAGAAGCACCGGCUAACUCCGUGCCAGCAGCCGCGGUAAUACGGAGGGUGCGAGCGUUAAUCGGAAUUACUGGGCGUAAAGCGCGCGUAGGCGGUCUGAUAAGCCGGUUGUGAAAGCCCCGGGCUCAACCUGGGAACGGCAUCCGGAACUGUCAGGCUAGAGUGCAGGAGAGGAAGGUAGAAUUCCCGGUGUAGCGGUGAAAUGCGUAGAGAUCGGGAGGAAUACCAGUGGCGAAGGCGGCCUUCUGGACUGACACUGACGCUGAGGUGCGAAAGCGUGGGUAGCAAACAGGAUUAGAUACCCCUGUAGUC